CGGCAGCUCUGCGGGACCCCAGUCGGAGCCGGCCCGAGGAGGAGGAGGAUCCUAGGACCCAGUUACAUGUGAGUAACACCCAGUAGACAAGUAACACCUUCUGGUUGGCAAGGACUUAUUCAAGGCAAUGAGCCAUGAGGGAAAAGAGUAGGCCUGCUCCCACCUGAUGAGCCUUCAUGAAAACACUCUAGACAGCCUGAAAGUGAUGACUGCUAUGACUCUACAAAGACAUGUGACCAACCCACAUGAUUCUGGACUCCAUUUUGGGAAUGUCAGUAUUAUUCCACACACCGGUCUGCAAACCAGGGUUUGAAAUGAAGAUUUCCCUCCAUAUGCUAAAGCUAUAUAAGGCAGGGAGUGAUAUCAUCUGUUGUUCUUCACUCCCCACACAAGAAGACUCCUGGCAACAUGAAAGGAACAAAGACUGAAUUGGGGAAAGUGCUAGAUCCAGGCUAAAGGCCUUUCUGGACUAUGUGUGAAAGACCUGGAAAUUCCAAGCUAAAAAGUCAUUUCAGUUUGCCCCUUAAGAAUCUGCAGCCUGCUUGUUUCAUCAGCCAGGAUGUGAAUUUGCUAAUUCAUACCCUAUCAUUCUAGUAUCUUGGGCUUAGUUUGUGUAUAUUUAUAUAUAAUCUGAUAUGAUCUGUUGCUAUCACUUAUAAUCACUUAAACUCUCUUUUGUAGUUAAUACAUUUGUUUUGCUUUAUCUAAACUAGUGAGUUUGGAGUGACGCGUAUGGAAAAUCAUAGCUGCAGGGACAAAGUCCACUGCAUAUUCCUCUUCACAUUGUGGAGAAGAGAGGGAGAACAGACAUGGUAUAUGCUUACACUAUACAAUUCCCUGUGCAAUGCAAUAUGGGAAUUUUGGGUUUAUGAUCAAGAAGGGGCACAGGUUUGCAGAGCUGAGAAUUACCUUGAUUAUACCCUUUUCAGUGUUGGUUCAUGCAGUGGUGACUCAGAAGGUCUGUGUGUAACUGUAAUUGGGUGUGUCCUCACCUGUGUGAAUGCAGGUAGAAGUGUAGGACUGGGGAUGGAUACGAAGCUUGUCAUAGCAUUACAGUGUAAGAGGGAGCCCAGGCUACUGGGUCAGAGGGCUUAGUGGCAUCCCAGUCCCAGGGGGCACAUCCAGGACACCCAUCACAAUAUAUUUUUAUAUAUUUACCUAUUAUAAAUUUGAGUUUGUCUA
Pelodiscus sinensis (Chinese soft-shelled turtle) is the source of this 1182-nucleotide non-coding RNA. The record is from RefSeq and is a predicted model, not a curated record. NCBI's taxonomy places the organism in Eukaryota, Metazoa, Chordata, Testudines, Trionychidae.